GGACAAAUAGCUCCAAUUGGUAGAGCAGCGGAUUGAAGCUCCGCCCGUGCAGGUUCGAGUCCUGCUUUGUCCA
This 73-nucleotide transfer RNA is filed under the name Flaviaesturariibacter aridisoli. Its description in RNAcentral is "Flaviaesturariibacter sp. 17J68-15 tRNA-Phe". It matches the Rfam family "tRNA". From Rfam's summary of the family: Transfer RNA (tRNA) molecules are approximately 80 nucleotides in length. Their secondary structure includes four short double-helical elements and three loops (D, anti-codon, and T loops). Lineage: Bacteria; Pseudomonadati; Bacteroidota; Chitinophagia; Chitinophagales; Chitinophagaceae. The record is from RNAcentral.